This 423-nucleotide ribosomal RNA is filed under the name Escherichia coli. Its description in RNAcentral is "partial 16S ribosomal RNA". It matches the Rfam family "Bacterial small subunit ribosomal RNA", at positions 30 to 449 of the family's 1533-position model. RNAcentral also lists the same sequence under 1 other name. The record is from RNAcentral. Lineage: Bacteria; Pseudomonadati; Pseudomonadota; Gammaproteobacteria; Enterobacterales; Enterobacteriaceae.
UGAACGCUGGCGGCAGGCCUAACACAUGCAAGUCGAACGGUAACAGGAAGCAGCUUGCUGUUUCGCUGACGAGUGGCGGACGGGUGAGUAAUGUCUGGGAAACUGCCUGAUGGAGGGGGAUAACUACUGGAAACGGUAGCUAAUACCGCAUAACGUCGCAAGACCAAAGAGGGGGACCUUCGGGCCUCUUGCCAUCGGAUGUGCCCAGAUGGGAUUAGCUAGUAGGUGGGGUAACGGCUCACCUAGGCGACGAUCCCUAGCUGGUCUGAGAGGAUGACCAGCCACACUGGAACUGAGACACGGUCCAGACUCCUACGGGAGGCAGCAGUGGGGAAUAUUGCACAAUGGGCGCAAGCCUGAUGCAGCCAUGCCGCGUGUAUGAAGAAGGCCUUCGGGUUGUAAAGUACUUUCAGCGGGGAGGAA